Non-coding RNA from Populus trichocarpa (black cottonwood), 161 nucleotides. The record is from Rfam. Lineage: Eukaryota; Viridiplantae; Streptophyta; Magnoliopsida; Malpighiales; Salicaceae.
UUACUUACCUGGACGGGGUCGAUGGGCGAUCAAGAAAGCCCAUGGCCUAGGUUGGCGGUUCUCAUUGCACUUGGACAGCGCGUGAGCCUAACAUCUCCCCAAGUGGGAGAGUGUACGUCAUAAUUUGUGCUAGUUGGGGCCUGCGUUCGCGCGGCCCCUCU